AGCGUACACGGUGGAUGCCCUGGCAGUCAGAGGCGAUGAAGGACGUGCUAAUCUGCGAUAAGCGUCGGUAAGGUGAUAUGAACCGUUAUAACCGGCGAUUUCCGAAUGGGGAAACCCAGUGUGAUUCGUCACACUAUCAUUAACUGAAUCCAUAGGUUAAUGAGGCGAACCGGGGGAACUGAAACAUCUAAGUACCCCGAGGAAAAGAAAUCAACCGAGAUUCCCCCAGUAGCGGCGAGCGAACGGGGAGCAGCCCAGAGCCUGAAUCAGUGUGUGUGUUAGUGGAAGCGUCUGGAAAGGCGCGCGAUACAGGGUGACAGCCCCGUACACAAAAAUGCACAUGCUGUGAGCUCGAUGAGUAGGGCGGGACACGUGGUAUCCUGUCUGAAUAUGGGGGGACCAUCCUCCAAGGCUAAAUACUCCUGACUGACCGAUAGUGAACCAGUACCGUGAGGGAAAGGCGAAAAGAACCCCGGCGAGGGGAGUGAAAAAGAACCUGAAACCGUGUACGUACAAGCAGUGGGAGCACGCUUAGGCGUGUGACUGCGUACCUUUUGUAUAAUGGGUCAGCGACUUAUAUUCUGUAGCAAGGUUAACCGAAUAGGGGAGCCGAAGGGAAACCGAGUCUUAACUGGGCGUUAAGUUGCAGGGUAUAGACCCGAAACCCGGUGAUCUAGCCAUGGGCAGGUUGAAGGUUGGGUAACACUAACUGGAGGACCGAACCGACUAAUGUUGAAAAAUUAGCGGAUGACUUGUGGCUGGGGGUGAAAGGCCAAUCAAACCGGGAGAUAGCUGGUUCUCCCCGAAAGCUAUUUAGGUAGCGCCUCGUGAAUUCAUCUCCGGGGGUAGAGCACUGUUUCGGCAAGGGGGUCAUCCCGACUUACCAACCCGAUGCAAACUGCGAAUACCGGAGAAUGUUAUCACGGGAGACACACGGCGGGUGCUAACGUCCGUCGUGAAGAGGGAAACAACCCAGACCGCCAGCUAAGGUCCCAAAGUCAUGGUUAAGUGGGAAACGAUGUGGGAAGGCCCAGACAGCCAGGAUGUUGGCUUAGAAGCAGCCAUCAUUUAAAGAAAGCGUAAUAGCUCACUGGUCGAGUCGGCCUGCGCGGAAGAUGUAACGGGGCUAAACCAUGCACCGAAGCUGCGGCAGCGACGCUUAUGCGUUGUUGGGUAGGGGAGCGUUCUGUAAGCCUGCGAAGGUGUGCUGUGAGGCAUGCUGGAGGUAUCAGAAGUGCGAAUGCUGACAUAAGUAACGAUAAAGCGGGUGAAAAGCCCGCUCGCCGGAAGACCAAGGGUUCCUGUCCAACGUUAAUCGGGGCAGGGUGAGUCGACCCCUAAGGCGAGGCCGAAAGGCGUAGUCGAUGGGAAACAGGUUAAUAUUCCUGUACUUGGUGUUACUGCGAAGGGGGGACGGAGAAGGCUAUGUUGGCCGGGCGACGGUUGUCCCGGUUUAAGCGUGUAGGCUGGUUUUCCAGGCAAAUCCGGAAAAUCAAGGCUGAGGCGUGAUGACGAGGCACUACGGUGCUGAAGCAACAAAUGCCCUGCUUCCAGGAAAAGCCUCUAAGCAUCAGGUAACAUCAAAUCGUACCCCAAACCGACACAGGUGGUCAGGUAGAGAAUACCAAGGCGCUUGAGAGAACUCGGGUGAAGGAACUAGGCAAAAUGGUGCCGUAACUUCGGGAGAAGGCACGCUGAUAUGUAGGUGAAGUCCCUCGCGGAUGGAGCUGAAAUCAGUCGAAGAUACCAGCUGGCUGCAACUGUUUAUUAAAAACACAGCACUGUGCAAACACGAAAGUGGACGUAUACGGUGUGACGCCUGCCCGGUGCCGGAAGGUUAAUUGAUGGGGUCAGCGCAAGCGAAGCUCUUGAUCGAAGCCCCGGUAAACGGCGGCCGUAACUAUAACGGUCCUAAGGUAGCGAAAUUCCUUGUCGGGUAAGUUCCGACCUGCACGAAUGGCGUAAUGAUGGCCAGGCUGUCUCCACCCGAGACUCAGUGAAAUUGAACUCGCUGUGAAGAUGCAGUGUACCCGCGGCAAGACGGAAAGACCCCGUGAACCUUUACUAUAGCUUGACACUGAACAUUGAGCCUUGAUGUGUAGGAUAGGUGGGAGGCUUUGAAGUGUGGACGCCAGUCUGCAUGGAGCCGACCUUGAAAUACCACCCUUUAAUGUUUGAUGUUCUAACGUGGACCCGUAAUCCGGGUUGCGGACAGUGUCUGGUGGGUAGUUUGACUGGGGCGGUCUCCUCCUAAAGAGUAACGGAGGAGCACGAAGGUUGGCUAAUCCUGGUCGGACAUCAGGAGGUUAGUGCAAUGGCAUAAGCCAGCUUGACUGCGAGCGUGACGGCGCGAGCAGGUGCGAAAGCAGGUCAUAGUGAUCCGGUGGUUCUGAAUGGAAGGGCCAUCGCUCAACGGAUAAAAGGUACUCCGGGGAUAACAGGCUGAUACCGCCCAAGAGUUCAUAUCGACGGCGGUGUUUGGCACCUCGAUGUCGGCUCAUCACAUCCUGGGGCUGAAGUAGGUCCCAAGGGUAUGGCUGUUCGCCAUUUAAAGUGGUACGCGAGCUGGGUUUAGAACGUCGUGAGACAGUUCGGUCCCUAUCUGCCGUGGGCGCUGGAGAACUGAGGGGGGCUGCUCCUAGUACGAGAGGACCGGAGUGGACGCAUCACUGGUGUUCGGGUUGUCAUGCCAAUGGCACUGCCCGGUAGCUAAAUGCGGAAGAGAUAAGUGCUGAAAGCAUCUAAGCACGAAACUUGCCCCGAGAUGAGUUCUCCCUGACUCCUUGA
This 2787-nucleotide ribosomal RNA is filed under the name Escherichia coli. RNAcentral describes it as "bacterial LSU rRNA". It matches the Rfam family "Bacterial large subunit ribosomal RNA". The record is from RNAcentral. Lineage: Bacteria; Pseudomonadati; Pseudomonadota; Gammaproteobacteria; Enterobacterales; Enterobacteriaceae. RNAcentral also lists the same sequence under 1 other name.